CCGUGCUAGACGGGGAGUUAGCGGUGCCCUGUAACCCGGAAUCCGCUAUACCGGGGUCGAAUUCCCACCUGAGGUUUUUUGUCUUCUGGUGGGAGGCUGG
This 100-nucleotide signal recognition particle RNA is filed under the name Candidatus Zixiibacteriota bacterium. RNAcentral describes it as "candidate division Zixibacteria bacterium signal recognition particle sRNA large type". It matches the Rfam family "Bacterial large signal recognition particle RNA", at positions 1 to 98 of the family's 256-position model. From Rfam's summary of the family: The signal recognition particle (SRP) is a universally conserved ribonucleoprotein involved in the co-translational targeting of proteins to membranes. Archaeal SRP consists of a 7S RNA and homologues of the eukaryotic SRP19 and SRP54 proteins. The record is from RNAcentral. Lineage: Bacteria; Pseudomonadati; Candidatus Zixiibacteriota.